Molecule: ribosomal RNA, 253 nt
Filed under: uncultured bacterium
Lineage: Bacteria
Description: partial 16S ribosomal RNA
Rfam family: Bacterial small subunit ribosomal RNA
Source: RNAcentral
UACGGAGGGUGCGAGCGUUGUCCGGAAUCACUGGGCGUAAAGGGCGCGUAGGCGGCUUGAUAAGUCGGGGGUGAAACCCUGCGGCUUAACCGCAGGGCUGCCUUCUAAACUGUCAGGCUCGAGCACAGUAGAGGCAGGUGGAAUUCCCGGUGUAGCGGUGGAAUGCGUAGAGAUCGGGAAGAACAUCAGUGGCGAAGGCGGCCUGCUGGGCUGUUGCUGACGCUGAGGCGCGACAGCGUGGGGAGCAAACAGG